CUCUUGAACUCUGGCGAAGGUCUCUCUCUUCAGUGACAUGCAUCUGCAUUUCAAGAAAAACUUGUUCAUUCAGAUCUUUCAAGAUUUGUCGCAUCAAGAACAGCUAAAACAAAUGCCAUUGUGGAUGUUUUGCUUGUUUGUGUGUCAUCAUCAUCCUCAUCGGCACCAUUGGAUAACUUGGACAACUGGGGGGCUAUCAUCUUCGACGAAGCUUCGCCAGCAUCACCUUAGUCAUCGUCAUCAGGAGCUUCUUAGCAUUGAUGAGCGCAAUGAUGGGAGCUUCUGAUGGCUGCUAGGUUUCAUUGGUGUUUGCUCAAAAGCUUUAGGGUCAACGUCCGGAGUGUCUGAAGCUUUUAGUUGUAGAUUUGUGAGUUUAAGAUUUUUAGUGUUUAUUGUCAUGACAUGAUCUCUAUUAAAUCGAUAAACCAAAAAUAUUUAAAUCUAAAUUAAUAAUAAUACAUCUAUCACACUCUAA
Long non-coding RNA from Musa acuminata AAA Group (dessert banana), 475 nucleotides. RefSeq lists it as uncharacterized. The record is from RefSeq and is a predicted model, not a curated record. The transcript is spliced from 2 exons. NCBI's taxonomy places the organism in Eukaryota, Viridiplantae, Streptophyta, Magnoliopsida, Zingiberales, Musaceae.